CAAAGAGUAGUUUAAGUUUAAAAUUCUGGUUUUGGAGACCAGGGAUGAAGAUAUUUCUCUUUGA
RNAcentral lists this transfer RNA (64 nucleotides) under Rhinophis philippinus. Its description in RNAcentral is "tRNA-Pro". Lineage: Eukaryota; Metazoa; Chordata; Lepidosauria; Squamata; Uropeltidae. The record is from RNAcentral.